Molecule: RNase P RNA, 350 nt
Filed under: uncultured Bifidobacterium sp.
Lineage: Bacteria; Bacillati; Actinomycetota; Actinomycetes; Bifidobacteriales; Bifidobacteriaceae
Description: Bacterial RNase P class A
Rfam family: Bacterial RNase P class A
About the family: Ribonuclease P (RNase P) is a ubiquitous endoribonuclease, found in archaea, bacteria and eukarya as well as chloroplasts and mitochondria. Its best characterised activity is the generation of mature 5'-ends of tRNAs by cleaving the 5'-leader elements of precursor-tRNAs.
Source: RNAcentral
GAUGGCCGCGGUCAUUCCUCUUGGGAAUGGCUGAGGAACUUCCGGGCUCCAUAGAGCACGAUGGCGGAUAACGUCCGCCCAGGGCGACCUGAGAGAUAGCGCAACAGAGAACAGACCGCCUGUCCCUAGGGCAGGUAAGGGUGAAACGGCGGUGCAAGAGACCACCGGGCCGCUGGUGACAGCGGUUGCAUGGCAAGCCUCAUCGGGAGCAAGGCCAAGCAGAAGGCAUUCAGGGGUUGCUCGUCCCGCCUUCGGGUAGGCCGCUAGAGCCUGGCGGCAACGUCAGGUCGAGAUGGAUGGCCAUCCUUCCGUCGGAUCCAUUCGACGGAUGACAGAACCCGGGGUAUAUG